Molecule: ribosomal RNA, 389 nt
Filed under: uncultured bacterium
Lineage: Bacteria
Description: bacterial SSU rRNA
Rfam family: Bacterial small subunit ribosomal RNA
Source: RNAcentral
GACGAACGCUGGCGGCGUGCUUAACACAUGCAAGUCGAGCGGUAAGGCCCUUUCGGGGGUACACGAGCGGCGAACGGGUGAGUAACACGUGGGUGACCUGCCCUCAGCUCUGGGAUAAGCCUGGGGAAACUGGGUCUAAUACUGGAUAUGACUCCACGGUGCAUGUCGUGGGGUGGAAAGCCUUGUGCGGCUGAGGAUGGGCCCGCGGCCUAUCAGCUUGUUGGGUGGGGUGAUGGCCUACCAAGGCGACGACGGUAGCCGGCCUGAGAGGGCGACCGGCCACACUGGGACUGAGACACGGCCCAGACUCCUACGGGAGGCAGCAGUGGGGAAUCUUGCGCAAUGGGCGAAAGCCUGACGCAGCGACGCCGCGUGAGGGAUGACGGCCU